GGGUUGUGAGGUUAAGCGACUAAGCGUACACGGUGGAUGCCCUGGCAGUCAGAGGCGAUGAAGGACGUGCUAAUCUGCGAUAAGCGUCGGUAAGGUGAUAUGAACCGUUAUAACCGGCGAUUUCCGAAUGGGGAAACCCAGUGUGUUUCGACACACUAUCAUUAACUGAAUCCAUAGGUUAAUGAGGCGAACCGGGGGAAC
This 201-nucleotide ribosomal RNA is filed under the name Escherichia coli. RNAcentral describes it as "partial 23S ribosomal RNA". It matches the Rfam family "Bacterial large subunit ribosomal RNA", at positions 1 to 193 of the family's 2925-position model. Lineage: Bacteria; Pseudomonadati; Pseudomonadota; Gammaproteobacteria; Enterobacterales; Enterobacteriaceae. The record is from RNAcentral.